UGGAAGCAUAGCGAUAUGUGCAGCUGACGAAUACUAAUCGAUCGAAGACUUAAUCAAAUU
Molecule: ribosomal RNA, 60 nt
Filed under: Staphylococcus saprophyticus subsp. saprophyticus ATCC 15305 = NCTC 7292
Lineage: Bacteria; Bacillati; Bacillota; Bacilli; Caryophanales; Staphylococcaceae
Description: Staphylococcus saprophyticus subsp. saprophyticus ATCC 15305 partial 23S ribosomal RNA
Source: RNAcentral